UCCAUCUACACAACCUUUCAUUCAGCACUGCACAAAAAACUUUCCCUACUGUGUUUACAAGGGAGAUUGGUCUGUAAUUCUUAAGGGCCUAAUAAAUAGUUUUGAAGUUAUUUAAGUUAGUCUGAUGCGUUUGGAGGCAAUAGAUAAGGAGGAAGUGUUGGCGUCGAGGUAAAUAUUGUUAGGCCCGCCGCCCUUCCUGCCUCCCGCCUGUGCCUGCCUCCCGCCGUGUUGGGGAAUGGCUGCACCUUUUUGUGAAUGUCUCGCUGGGAACGCCGGGAAGCCUGGCAUGGCGGGCAGGAGCAGGAACAGCAGGGACGGGGCCAGCAGGAGGAGGAGGAGCAGAGGUGAGAGGAGACUCCUGGCCGGCUGCGGCAGGAAAGGUGUGCACAGGUGUGUUUGUCCCCAGUACUCACAGGUGUGUAAGUUGUCCCCAGUACUCACAGGUGUGUAAGUUGUCCCCGGUACUCACAGGUGUGUAAGUUGUCCCCAGUACUCACAGGUGUGUAAGUUGUCCCCAGUACUCACAGGUGUGUAAGUUGUCCCCGGUACUCACAGGUGUGUAAGUUGUCCCCAGUACUCACAGGUGUGUAAGUUGUCCCCAGUACUCACAGGUGUGUAAGUUGUCCCCGGUACUCACAGGUGUGUAAGUUGUCCCCAGUACUCACAGGUGUGUAAGUUGUCCCCAGUACUCACAGGUGUGUAAGUUGUCCCCAGUACUCACAGGUGUGUAAGUUGUCCCCAGUACUCACAGGUGUGUAAGUUGUCCCCAGUACUCACAGGUGUGUAAGUUGUCCCCAGUACUCACAGGUGUGUAAGUUGUCCCCAGUACUCACAGGUGUGUAAGUUGUCCCCAGUACUCACAGGUGUGUAAGUUGUCCCCUGUACUCACAGGUGUGUAAGUUGUCCCCAGUACUCACAGGUGUGUAAGUUGUCCCCGGUACUCACAGGUGUGUAAGUUGUCCCCGGUACUCACAGGUGUGUAAGUUGUCCCCGGUACUCACAGGGGUUAAGAUUCGUUUUGGGUCCGUGCCAGUAUCUCAUUACCUACCUUAUGAAACAUCAGUAUCUCUUCAUAUAUCUUUUCUACAAACCUUCAACAGUCAUGGAAACGCUUUGAAAAUCCAAUUCAAGGACUUUUUUUUUACUCUUGAAAAUAUGGGAUAAUGUUUACGAAAG
Molecule: long non-coding RNA, 1176 nt
Organism: Eriocheir sinensis (Chinese mitten crab)
Lineage: Eukaryota; Metazoa; Arthropoda; Malacostraca; Decapoda; Varunidae
Exons: 6
Source: RefSeq, a predicted model, not a curated record